Saccostrea cuccullata (small rock oyster) is the source of this 376-nucleotide long non-coding RNA. RefSeq lists it as uncharacterized. The transcript has 3 exons. The record is from RefSeq and is a predicted model, not a curated record. Lineage: Eukaryota; Metazoa; Mollusca; Bivalvia; Ostreida; Ostreidae.
UUCAGUCUGUAUUCAAUAAACCAGGCAAAGUAUUGACAUCUCCACUGUCAAAAUAUGUCUUCAACUAUUUUCUGUUCUUGACAAUGCUGAUCAGCUACAGCGCCUUUGUAACGACAAGUAUUGGUACAACUUAUUACGUCCGAGACAUUGCAAGAAUUUUUGAAUAUUACGUCUACUUCUGGGGAUUUGGCGAUUUACUGGAGGAAUUUUUCAGUUGCUUUGGAAUAUUUCACGAGACUGCCAUUGAAGGAAAAUCCUACCGCAGUUACAGAACUAUUGUAAAGCGUUACUUAAACAAUUUUUGGAAUCAAGUUGACAUUCUGUCUUAUGAAUUGUUGAUCACUGCCCUGUUUGUACGACACUUUUACCCAUCCGA